UACGGAGGAUGCGAGCGUUAUCCGGAUUUAUUGGGUUUAAAGGGUGCGUAGGCGGGCUUUUAAGUCAGCGGUAAAAAUUCGGGGCUCAACCCCGUCCGGCCGUUGAAACUGGGGGCCUUGAGUGGGCGAGAAGAAGGCGGAAUGCGUGGUGUAGCGGUGAAAUGCAUAGAUAUCACGCAGAACCCCGAUUGCGAAGGCAGCCUUCCGGCGACCUACUGACGCUGAGGCACGAAAGUGCGGGGAUCGAACAGG
RNAcentral lists this ribosomal RNA (252 nucleotides) under uncultured bacterium. RNAcentral describes it as "partial 16S ribosomal RNA". It matches the Rfam family "Bacterial small subunit ribosomal RNA", at positions 524 to 776 of the family's 1533-position model. The record is from RNAcentral.